Molecule: long non-coding RNA, 625 nt
Filed under: Triticum aestivum (bread wheat)
Lineage: Eukaryota; Viridiplantae; Streptophyta; Magnoliopsida; Poales; Poaceae
Description: long non-coding RNA (TAES_LNC021694)
Source: RNAcentral
AGCUGCAAGUAUACCUGGAUGGAAAACUGCACACAUGAUCAGAAGCAAAACACUGACAAUUCACUGUUUUUCAUAAUUAUGCCAGAUGAUCCUUUGAUCCCUAAAACUGAUGAUUUUCCAGGCAUACCUUCAGUCUUCAUGAGUUUUGGACAAAAUGUAAACACAAGUGGCUUCAAAGCCCACCAAACAUAAGAACACCUGAACAGCAAGCCAACAGAAAUUAGAAAUGCAAGAACACCUGGUACUGACAGCAACAUAGCAGUAUAUGAAAAGAAAAAAUCACCUUAAUAUCAGUAGCUUGCCCUGAAGGCUCAUUUAUUCCAUACUGAUGUCCUACUGCUAUUUUGAUCGUGACACCCAAAACAGGGGAGUAGACUGCCACGUCUUGAUGAAUAACAAUAACCCAAAUAUAAAUGCAAGAUAUGAAGAAGCCUAUAUGAUCGAACAAACACCUGCACACAUAACAAAAACAAAUGGUGAUCACAGGUUUUGUUGGAAAAAAGAAGAGACUUGCAGAAGGCAUUGGCUGAUAAUGAUGCCGAUUUUAUCGAUUUGUGGAAAGAAAAGCGGCGUUGAGAAACAAAUCUUAAAUAGUUUCACUACCUUUGAGAAGAAUAAAAUGGUA